GUGAUGGCUUACCAAGCCGAUGACGGGUAGCUGGUCUGAGAGGAUGAUCAGCCAGACUGGGGCUGAGAGACGGCCCAGACUCCUACGGGGGGCAGCAGGGGGGAAUCUUGCACAAUGGGCGAAAGCCUGAUGCAGCGACGCCGCGUGAAGGAAGAAGGGUUUCGGCCUGUAAACUUCUUUUGAUGGGACGAUAAUGACGGUACCCAUCGAAUAAGCCCCGGCUAACUACGUGCCAGCAGCCGCGGUAAUACGUAGGGGGCGAGCGUUGUCCGGAUUUACUGGGCGUAAAGAGCGCGUAGGCGGCAUGUUAAGUUGGCUGUGAAAGUCCCUGGCUCAACUGGGGAAAGUCGGCCAAGACUGGCGAGCUUGAGAGCGGUAGAGAAAAGUGGAAUUCCGGGUGUAGUGGUGAAAUGCGUAGAUAUCCGGAGGAACACCGGUAGCGAAGGCGGCUUUCUGGGCCGUUUCUGACGCUGAGGCGCGAAAGCGUGGGUAGCGAACUGAAUUAGAUACUCAGGUAGUCCACGCCCUAAACGAUGGACGCUAGGUGUAGGGGGUAUCGACCCCUCCUGUGCCGAAGCUAACGCAUUAAGCGUCCCGCCUGGGGAGUACGGCCGCAAG
RNAcentral lists this ribosomal RNA (618 nucleotides) under uncultured bacterium. RNAcentral describes it as "bacterial SSU rRNA". It matches the Rfam family "Bacterial small subunit ribosomal RNA", at positions 257 to 892 of the family's 1533-position model. The record is from RNAcentral.